RNAcentral lists this ribosomal RNA (497 nucleotides) under uncultured bacterium. RNAcentral's name for it is "partial 16S ribosomal RNA". It matches the Rfam family "Bacterial small subunit ribosomal RNA", at positions 28 to 507 of the family's 1533-position model. The record is from RNAcentral.
GAUGAACGCUGGCGGCGUGCCUAAUACAUGCAGGUCGAGCGAACGGACGAGAAGCUUGCUUCUCUGAUGUUAGCGGCGGACGGGUGAGUAACACGUGGAUAACCUACCUAUAAGACUGGGAUAACUUCGGGAAACCGGAGCUAAUACCGGAUAAUAUUUUGAACCGCAUGGUUCAAAAGUGAAAGACGGUCUUGCUGUCACUUAUAGAUGGAUCCGCGCUGCAUUAGCUAGUUGGUAAGGUAACGGCUUACCAAGGCAACGAUGCAUAGCCGACCUGAGAGGGUGAUCGGCCCCACUGGAACUGAGACACGGUCCAGACUCCUACGGGAGGCAGCAGUAGGGAAUCUUCCGCAAUGGGCGAAAGCCUGACGGAGCAACGCCGCGUGAGUGAUGAAGGUCUUCGGAUCGUAAAACUCUGUUAUUAGGGAAGAACAUAUGUGUAAGUAACUGUGCACAUCUUGACGGUACCUAAUCAGAAAGCCACGGCUAACUACGUG